Molecule: ribosomal RNA, 506 nt
Filed under: uncultured bacterium
Lineage: Bacteria
Description: partial 16S ribosomal RNA
Rfam family: Bacterial small subunit ribosomal RNA
Source: RNAcentral
GAUGAACGCUAGCUACAGGCUUAACACAUGCAAGUCGAGGGGUAACGAGAGGAAAGCUUGCUUUCCUUGUCGACGACCGGCGCACGGGUGAGUAACGCGUAUCCAACCUGCCCCCAACUAGGGAAUAACCUUGCGAAAGUAAGACUAAUACCCUAUAAUUUCCUCAGAUGUCAUCUGACGAGGAAUAAAGAUUUAUCGGUUGUGGAUGGGGAUGCGUCUGAUUAGCUUGUUGGCGGGGUAACGGCCCACCAAGGCAACGAUCAGUAGGGGUUCUGAGGGGAAGGUCCCCCAGAUUGGAACUGAGACACGUUCCAAACUCCUACUGGACGCAGAAGUGAGGAAUAUUGGUCGGUGGGCGGAAGCCUGAACCAGCCAAGUAGCGUGCAGGAUGACGGGCCUAUGGGUUGUAAACUGCUUUUAUACAGGAAUAAAGUUAGCCACGUAUGGUUAUUUGUAGGUACUGUAUGAAUAAGGACCGGCUAAUUCCGUGCCAGCCGCCGCCGUAA